GAUGAACGCUGGCGGCGUGCCUAAUACAUGCAAGUCGAGCGAACAGACGAGGAGCUUGCUCCUCUGACGUUAGCGGCGGACGGGUGAGUAACACGUGGAUAACCUACCUAUAAGACUGGGAUAACUUCGGGAAACCGGAGCUAAUACCGGAUAACAUGUUGAACCGCAUGGUUCAACAGUGAAAGACGGUCUUGCUGUCACUUAUAGAUGGAUCCGCGCCGCAUUAGCUAGUUGGUAAGGUAACGGCUUACCAAGGCAACGAUGCGUAGCCGACCUGAGAGGGUGAUCGGCCACACUGGAACUGGGACACGGUCCAGACUCCUACGGGAGGCAGCAGUAGGGAAUCUUCCGCAAUGGGCGAAGGCCUGACGGAGCAACGCCGCGUGAGUGAAGAAGGUCUUCGGAUCGUAAAACUCUGUUAUUAGGGAAGAACAAAUGUGUAAGUAACUAUGCACGUCUUGACGGUACCUAAUCAGAAAGCCACGGCUAACUACGUG
This 497-nucleotide ribosomal RNA is filed under the name uncultured bacterium. RNAcentral's name for it is "partial 16S ribosomal RNA". It matches the Rfam family "Bacterial small subunit ribosomal RNA", at positions 28 to 507 of the family's 1533-position model. The record is from RNAcentral.